UACGGGAGGCAGCAGUGGGGAAUCUUGCGCAAUGGGCGAAGGCCUGACACAGCAACGCCGCGUGCGGGAUGAAGGCCUUCGGGCUGUAAACCGCUUUCAGCAGGAACGAAAAUGACGGUACCUGCAGAAGAAGGAGCGGCCAACUACGUGCCAGCAGCCGCGGUGACACGUAGGCUCCAAGCGUUGUCCGGAUUUAUUGGGCGUAAAGAGCUCGUAGGCGGUUGAGUAAGUCGGGUGUGAAAACUCUGGGCUUAACCCGGAGACGCCAUCCGAUACUGCUCUGACUAGAGUUCAGGAGGGGAGUGGGGAAUUCCUAGUGUAGCGGUGAAAUGCGCAGAUAUUAGGAGGAACACCGGUGGCGAAGGCGCCACUCUGGACUGAAACUGACGCUGAGGAGCGAAAGCAUGGGUAGCAAACAGGAUUAGAUACCCUGGUAGUCCAUGCCGUAAACGGUGGGCACUAGGUGUGGGUUCCAACUAACGGGAUCCGCGCCGUCGCUAACGCAUUAAGUGCCCCGCCUGGGGAGUACGGUCGCAAGACUAAAACUCAAAGGAAUUGACGGGA
This 564-nucleotide ribosomal RNA is filed under the name uncultured Actinomycetales bacterium. RNAcentral describes it as "bacterial SSU rRNA". It matches the Rfam family "Bacterial small subunit ribosomal RNA", at positions 340 to 918 of the family's 1533-position model. Lineage: Bacteria; Bacillati; Actinomycetota; Actinomycetes; Actinomycetales. The record is from RNAcentral.